UGGGGAAUAUUGGACAAUGGGCGAAAGCCUGAUCCAGCCAUGCCGCGUGUGUGAAGAAGAUCUUCGGAUUGUAAAGCACUUUAAGUUGGGAGGAAGGGCAUUAACCUAAUACGUUGGUGUCUUGACGUUACCGACAGAAUAAGCACCGGCUAACUCUGUGCCAGCAGCCGCGGUAAUACAGAGGGUGCAAGCGUUAAUCGGAAUUACUGGGCGUAAAGCGCGCGUAGGUGGUUCGUUAAGUUGGAUGUGAAAUCCCCGGGCUCAACCUGGGAACUGCAUUCAAAACUGACGGGGUAGAGUAUGGUAGAGGGUGGUGGAAUUUCCUGUGUAGAGGUGAAAUGCGUAGAUAUAGGAAGGAAAACCAGUGGCGAAGGCGACCACCUGGACUGAUACUGACGCCGAGGUGCGAAAGCGUGGGGAGCAAACA
This 427-nucleotide ribosomal RNA is filed under the name uncultured bacterium. RNAcentral's name for it is "bacterial SSU rRNA". It matches the Rfam family "Bacterial small subunit ribosomal RNA", at positions 355 to 774 of the family's 1533-position model. The record is from RNAcentral.